This is a long non-coding RNA of Acyrthosiphon pisum (pea aphid), 711 nucleotides long. RefSeq lists it as uncharacterized. The record is from RefSeq and is a predicted model, not a curated record. The transcript has 2 exons. NCBI's taxonomy places the organism in Eukaryota, Metazoa, Arthropoda, Insecta, Hemiptera, Aphididae.
AAACAUUUUUCCUAUUUGCGCUACUGCAGAUCAUUAGGCCGUAAUAAGAGUGAGAGAAAUGGCACUGUUCAGAGAACAGCAAAUACAUAGCUUAAAUAGCGCCCGAUAAGUUCCACCCUUGUUCGCGUUAUCAUACCUAUAAUGUUCCGACUAUUUCUAUCAUUGAACUAUACGAUAACGUUAUCAUAAUAUAGUUCAAUGAUUUCUAUAAGUCUAUGGCACAGAUUUCUGUAAAGUAUUAGUCAUUACUCAUUAGUAAUCGAACUCCCACUGUGAAUUGAAAAGGUCGGUUGGCAAUUGUGUGGUAUUUUAUAUGGCAAAUAAGAUUUACUUACGAUUUAUUUUGUACUGUAGGUAUUUUAUUAUUUCUAAACCGGUAGUUUUUUUUUAAAAAUAAUAAAAAUAUUUUAUAUAAAUCAUUUAACAUUUACUAUUUUAUUUUACCAUUAGUUUUUAACGUUAUUCCUAAUACAUUUUGUAUAAUAAAUGAAAUGUUUUGCCAACCGACAAAAUGGCGGCCAUCAUCCACCGCGAAGCUUCACUUGGAACAAUGGUUCCAGAUGGCGCCAGUCAGUAGUUCCACAGCCAUUUUGGUGACACAGUUUGACCAUAGAGUACCUAAUUACUCUAUGAAUUUGGCGGUCACAAUAAUUCGUUGUGUAGCCAGUAUGUUAUCUUAAACGACUUAAGCCGAGGUCGUUACCGUAGAAU